CGGGAUGUAGCGCAGCCUGGCUUAGCGCGCAGCGUUCGGGACGCUGAGGCCGGGGGUUCAAAUCCCCCCAUCCCGACCA
Molecule: transfer RNA, 79 nt
Filed under: Actinomycetes bacterium
Lineage: Bacteria; Bacillati; Actinomycetota; Actinomycetes
Also listed under: 3 other names
Description: tRNA-Pro
Rfam family: tRNA
About the family: Transfer RNA (tRNA) molecules are approximately 80 nucleotides in length. Their secondary structure includes four short double-helical elements and three loops (D, anti-codon, and T loops).
Source: RNAcentral